UUGUUCUCACUUAGGCAGCAAAUAUACUAAAAUUGGAACGAUACAGAGAUUAGCAUGGCCCCUGUGCAUGGAUGACAUGCAAAUUCAUGAAGCAUUCCAUAUUUUU
Vombatus ursinus (common wombat) is the source of this 106-nucleotide small nuclear RNA. Lineage: Eukaryota; Metazoa; Chordata; Mammalia; Diprotodontia; Vombatidae. The record is from Ensembl.